AGCUUUUGCACAACAAACCUAUAAAAAUAUUAAUAUCCAAGAUGACAUAUUAAAACAUAGAAGAUAAGGCCUUUACAGCUUAAGAAAAUAAACAAGAAUUAAUCUUCGGUACAAAGGAUGCAUAUCAUCAGUUUGCACUUACAUUUAAAGUAGUCUGACAGCAAGAACAAUGAGGAGGACAUCAUCUCACGGUACUCAGAUCCAAUCAUUCACCACCAGCAGGUGACUCGGUGAGUUCCCUCAUAGCCUCCUCCACUGGGCCAAACUACAACACCUCUGCCAUGGUUUUCUAGCCGUCGGCCAUGUCAUCUUGGUCAAAACCCUUGAGAACGCUCCGCCGAACUCCAUGAGGUCAUCUAGGAUCUAGAUCCUUGAGAACGCGAUGAACGCGUUCGCGCACUCCGCACAACGGCAAACUGCGCCAGACGAAGAGAAGUUGGAAGAAAUGAAUGGAGAAGUGCAGUCGUGAUGGUUUGGGAAUUAGUCCGCUGAUGGCAAGCGACGAGAUCUUCAUCAGCCAGAUAAUGGAGAGGUGGUGCAGGCGGAUGGAUAAGGUUGCUGGUGGG
This 566-nucleotide long non-coding RNA is filed under the name Triticum aestivum (bread wheat). Its description in RNAcentral is "long non-coding RNA (TAES_LNC004765)". Lineage: Eukaryota; Viridiplantae; Streptophyta; Magnoliopsida; Poales; Poaceae. The record is from RNAcentral.